GUGGGCGUAGCUCAACUGGCAGAGCACUGGACUGUGGCUCCAGUGGUUGUGGGUUCGAUCCCCAUCGCCCACCCCA
Molecule: transfer RNA, 76 nt
Filed under: Nitrospiraceae bacterium
Lineage: Bacteria; Pseudomonadati; Nitrospirota; Nitrospiria; Nitrospirales; Nitrospiraceae
Description: tRNA-His
Rfam family: tRNA
About the family: Transfer RNA (tRNA) molecules are approximately 80 nucleotides in length.
Source: RNAcentral